UACGUAGGGGGCAAGCGUUGUCCGGAAUCAUUGGGCGUAAAGAGCGUGUAGGCGGCCCGAUAAGUCCGUCGUGAAAGUCCAGGGCUCAACCCUGGGAUGCCGGUGGAAACUGUCGGGCUAGAGUCCGGAAGAGGCGAGUGGAAUUCCUGGUGUAGCGGUGAAAUGCGCAGAUAUCAGGAGGAACACCGAUGGCGAAGGCAGGUCUCUGGGCCACUACUGACGCUGAGAAGCGAAAGCAUGGGGAGCGAACAGG
Molecule: ribosomal RNA, 253 nt
Filed under: uncultured bacterium
Lineage: Bacteria
Description: partial 16S ribosomal RNA
Rfam family: Bacterial small subunit ribosomal RNA
Source: RNAcentral